This 21-nucleotide non-coding RNA is filed under the name Arabidopsis thaliana (thale cress). The record is from RNAcentral. Lineage: Eukaryota; Viridiplantae; Streptophyta; Magnoliopsida; Brassicales; Brassicaceae.
UGUCUCGAAGAGGAUUGGUUG